Engraulis encrasicolus (European anchovy) is the source of this 652-nucleotide long non-coding RNA. RefSeq lists it as uncharacterized. NCBI's taxonomy places the organism in Eukaryota, Metazoa, Chordata, Actinopteri, Clupeiformes, Engraulidae. The transcript has 4 exons. The record is from RefSeq and is a predicted model, not a curated record.
CCAAUCUUCACGUUUUGUUUCAUGAGGAAAAUGACUAAAGGUUUCUUACAACAGAUGGACCCAAGGGCCUGGAUGACGGAAAACUCCAGAGAAGGGACCUUGAAUUUCUCUCCAUUAACCUAAUCACACAAGAUGAAGAGCCUCACUUCAGGAUCUGUAUAGCAGAGGAGGACGUGUAAGCUGUAAGGCGUUAAGUUCUGCCAGGAGGAUGAGACGAGUGCGCAGGUGUCGACGCCCCCACCGCCUCCACUUCAGCCUCCAUCGCUGGCCGGUCCUCGUCCCACGAGGAGGCUCUGCGAGGCGUCCCUGCUUUUGACGCCUUGCCACCACAAGGAUUGUGAGAACCACCACCUCCAGCCACCGUCACCAUUUGGUCCCCGUCACCCCCCCCAAAGCAGGCGGGGGCCUACGCCAAAGAGAAUCACUACUGCAUACUUCAGUGUCUCAAUAAAUAUCUUAAACUUUAAUUUGGUCUAUCGAGUCUUUCAUGGUAGAAGUGGAGCUUCUCCCUAUUCCCCCUCCCACAAAUCCAUGAAAAAUGCACUUUUAUUGACUGUGGAAUUGGACUGUGUAACUAUUUUGUACACAAAUGUUAUAUGACCCACUCUUGCACCUUUAUUGCUAAUCACAGCUCCUUGUCUACCUUUACUGC